AAAGGAAUAGACGGGGGCCCGCACAAGCAGUGGAGUAUGUGGUUUAAUUCGAAGCAACGCGAAGAACCUUACCAGGGCUUGACAUGGAGACGACCGCUCUAGAGAUAGAGCUUCCCUUCGGGGCGUCUCACACAGGUGGUGCAUGGUUGUCGUCAGCUCGUGUCGUGAGAUGUUGGGUUAAGUCCCGCAACGAGCGCAACCCUUGUUGUUAGUUGCUACGCAAGAGCACUCUAACGAGACUGCCGUUGACAAAACGGAGGAAGGUGGGGACGACGUCAAAUCAUCAUGCCCUUUAUGUCCUGGGCUACACACGUACUACAAUGGCGUAUACAGCGAGAAGCAAAACGGCGACGUAGAGCAAAUCUCCAAAAGACGCCUCAGUUCAGAUUGCAGGCUGCAACUCGCCUGCAUGAAGUCGGAAUUGCUAGUAAUCGCGGAUCAUCAUGCCGCGGUGAAUACGUUCCCGGGCCUUGUACACACCGCCCGU
Molecule: ribosomal RNA, 487 nt
Filed under: uncultured bacterium
Lineage: Bacteria
Description: bacterial SSU rRNA
Rfam family: Bacterial small subunit ribosomal RNA
Source: RNAcentral